Molecule: ribosomal RNA, 77 nt
Filed under: Dunaliella sp. SAS11133
Lineage: Eukaryota; Viridiplantae; Chlorophyta; Chlorophyceae; Chlamydomonadales; Dunaliellaceae
Description: partial 28S ribosomal RNA
Source: RNAcentral
UCUAUUUUUUUCUCGACCUGAGCUCAAGCAAGACCACCCGCUGAACUUAAGCUAUGGGAAUCCCAAAAAAUUUUAAU